Molecule: long non-coding RNA, 203 nt
Filed under: Elaeis guineensis (African oil palm)
Lineage: Eukaryota; Viridiplantae; Streptophyta; Magnoliopsida; Arecales; Arecaceae
Description: long non-coding RNA (EGUI_LNC059496)
Source: RNAcentral
UAUCACAUACAAGAUCAAGAUGUUGAAAAUAAAAAAUCAGAUUUAGAUCAGAUAAAUACCCUUUUCGUAGAGUGAGAUUUCUAUAGAGCCACAUACGCAUCCGAUCUCUACGGAUAUCCACAUGACAUCUUCGAUCCAAUCUGAAGCCUUUGUCUUCCCCAGGGUGCUAGUAGUUUCCUUAUAAAAGAUACCUUUUUGAUGGC